GCCGGUGUGGCUCAGGGGUAGAGCAAUUCACUCGUAAUGAAUAGGUCGGGGGUUCGAUUCCCCCCACCGGCUCCA
This 75-nucleotide transfer RNA is filed under the name Clostridiaceae bacterium. RNAcentral's name for it is "tRNA-Thr". It matches the Rfam family "tRNA". Rfam says of the family: Transfer RNA (tRNA) molecules are approximately 80 nucleotides in length. Their secondary structure includes four short double-helical elements and three loops (D, anti-codon, and T loops). Lineage: Bacteria; Bacillati; Bacillota; Clostridia; Eubacteriales; Clostridiaceae. The record is from RNAcentral.